ACCCGCUGAACUUAAGCAUAUCAAUAAGCGGAGGAAAAGAAACCAACAGGGAUUGUCUUAGUAACGGCGAGUGAAGCGACAAAAGCUCAAAUUUGAAAUCUGGCACCUUCGGUGUCCGAGUUGUAAUUUGAAGAAGGUAACUUUGGAGUUGGCUCUUGUCUAUGUUCCUUGGAACAGGACGUCACAGAGGGUGAGAAUCCCGUGCGAUGAGAUGUCCAACUCUAUGUAAAGUGCUUUCGAAGAGUCGAGUUGUUUGGGAAUGCAGCUCUAAGUGGGUGGUAAAUUCCAUCUAAAGCUAAAUAUUGGCGAGAGACCGAUAGCGAACAAGUACAGUGAUGGAAAGAUGAAAAGAACUUUGAAAAGAGAGUGAAAAAGUACGUGAAAUUGUUGAAAGGGAAGGGUUUGAGAUCAGACUUGGUAUUUUGUAUGUCUUGCUUUCGGGUGGGGCCUCUGCAGUUUACUGGGCCAGCAUCGGUUUGGACGGUAGGAUAAUGACAUUGGAAUGUGGCACUACUUCGGUGGUGUGUUAUAGACUUUGUUGAUACUGCCUGUCUAGACCGAGGACUGC
RNAcentral lists this ribosomal RNA (568 nucleotides) under Scheffersomyces shehatae. RNAcentral's name for it is "eukaryotic LSU rRNA". It matches the Rfam family "Eukaryotic large subunit ribosomal RNA", at positions 23 to 598 of the family's 3401-position model. Lineage: Eukaryota; Fungi; Ascomycota; Pichiomycetes; Serinales; Debaryomycetaceae. The record is from RNAcentral. RNAcentral also lists the same sequence under 4 other names.